UUUAAAUGUAGCUGUAAAUUUCUGUGUCUAACUUUAAUCACCCACCUUAUUUAAUUUUUUAUAAUUAGUAUUUUUUUAUUGUUACUAGAUGGUAAAACCUGAGUAUUUUAUGUGUAACUUAUACUUUUUAAUUAAUUCAAAUAUUUUUAAAUAAGAUAAAUGAUUAAAAUUGAAUAAAAGACAUACGACUGUGUUUAAA
Oryza barthii is the source of this 199-nucleotide non-coding RNA. The record is from Rfam. NCBI's taxonomy places the organism in Eukaryota, Viridiplantae, Streptophyta, Magnoliopsida, Poales, Poaceae.